Zingiber officinale is the source of this 848-nucleotide long non-coding RNA. RefSeq lists it as uncharacterized. The record is from RefSeq and is a predicted model, not a curated record. The transcript has 3 exons. NCBI's taxonomy places the organism in Eukaryota, Viridiplantae, Streptophyta, Magnoliopsida, Zingiberales, Zingiberaceae.
CCCCGAUUCCUUUCUCUCCUCUCCUUCAUUGCGCCGAACCCUGUUUCCCCGAGUCCUCACCUCGCGAUUCGCCGCACCACCGCCGGCCGCGAUGAACCGCACAGCCGGUGACUUCUUCUCCCUCGAGCUAUAGCCGCUGGCUCUUUGUCUCGCCAGGGCACCACACAGCUAGCCUUUCUUCCCUCACGCGAGCACCGGAGACAUGCCACGGUACCUGAUCGCACGGCGUUGCUCAGGCUGUCGCUCGCCGGAGCUUUCUAUUCCUCAGCCUCUCAUCUACAUCUCUGCUAGGUACACACCUUCUCGGAUCUUUGCUCCGCACAGGCCGAUCUUCAGCGAAAGGGUGGGAAAGCCGAGCCCUAGCUGCCUAUUGUGGAUGCCGAUCUCCCUCUUCAUCACUGGAUUUGGAUCAAGGAGAUCCACCGCUUCCCUCUUAUCGUCGUGCCCUAGAUUGUCGAUCGCCUCUCCUCGUCGUUGGAUCUUGGACCAAGGAGGGUCAACGCCGUCUCCUUCCACCUGAGCAAUUGUAUACCUUUCUCGGAGCCCUGCCCUAGCCUCGGUCAGCAUCGCAUUGCCCUAUAUCGCCGGCGUCACUUUACCUUCUGUCGUUGCUCAUGAUCACAGUAGCAGCAUUCGUCCGAGAAGAGUGUUUAUGGAACUGGAUUGAUCUUGAAGGCAGCAACGUUUCCUGGUGUGGAACAUUUCUUGGUGCUAGUCACCACAUCACCGUAGUCAGCAGCUAACUCUGCCAGUGCUGUGCCAUCAGUAGCAGCUGGAAAAGAGGAGGACCUUGAUAUGGGAUGAUUAUCACGACGUGAGAUUUAUUUUGGACACGAUCUACAGAUAAA